Molecule: unclassified non-coding RNA, 371 nt
Filed under: Cynanchum crassiantherae
Lineage: Eukaryota; Viridiplantae; Streptophyta; Magnoliopsida; Gentianales; Apocynaceae
Description: contains 5' external transcribed spacer, ETS
Source: RNAcentral
UCAAGUGCGGCAUGGGCCCUCGGCCGGGACCCAGUUUCUUGCGUUGCGUACCUACACGAUGGCAUCUGUUUUCGUCCCAACGACCCUCGUUCGUUUAGUGGCACCCCCCGUUUUGCUGGGGGCGCACAAGGCGAAACUCGUAGCGUGGUCCGUUACCCACGUCGCGUCCGGCUGUCGUGGUGAACGGGGCACUGCUGGAGCUCUCGGAUAUGGAAAAAGCAUAGAGGGCAUUGACGUCUCGUCGUUGCCCCGAGCUCGCAUUAUUAGUAGAUGGACCCGAACGCCGGUGCACGACUGUCGCUCCCGCCUCGGUUCGGCCGUGCGGGCAGAGGACGUCGUUGAGGAAUGCUACCUGGUUGAUCCUGCCAGUA